CGAUGUCAGGCCAACUCCUCCUCCUCCCAAAGUUGGCCUGCAGGAACGACAGCAACUCCUCCUCCCAUGCUGUUGUUCGGUUCUUUUCGGAAAGCCUGCCGCACCUCCUCCCGCGGCAGGCUUUUUCG
This 128-nucleotide small RNA is filed under the name Affinirhizobium rhizoryzae. RNAcentral describes it as "ar14". It matches the Rfam family "Alphaproteobacterial ar14". Rfam says of the family: Smr14C2 was renamed NfeR1 (Nodule Formation Efficiency RNA) highly expressed in salt stress and during the symbiotic interaction on legume roots. RNAcentral also lists the same sequence under 1 other name. Lineage: Bacteria; Pseudomonadati; Pseudomonadota; Alphaproteobacteria; Hyphomicrobiales; Rhizobiaceae. The record is from RNAcentral.